UAGGGAAGGACUAUCAGGUGAGGGCGGGGCUAGGUGUGUCUGAGUUCAGCCUCUCCUUGGGCAGGUCUUGCCGCGGCUGCUGGGAGGGAUGGGGGUGAGAUUCCCAGGUCAUUGGAGUUGUGUAUCUAGGAGGAUGAUUGCUGCCUCUGCUGAGUCAUGCAGGUUGUCAGGAAAGUUGAGGAAAGUCGGCAGUCACAGGCCUCACCCAGUUCCCACGCAAUCUGAAGGGCCGGUCUCACUCCCAUUGUGCCCCAUCAAUAGCCCCCAGACCAUUUCCAGCUGGAGAGCGAUACAGGCUUGAAAACAUACCCCAGGCUAUCUGCCUCCCAGCUGUGAAAGAAAAGGGCUUGGUUCUUUCCCUGCCUAAGGAGUCUGCACACCGGAUUUACAUCCUCCCCCGAGUGCUGGCCAGAAGGCUUCUCACCUGUUCAAAUUGUUACGAAGUUCAGUUAGAGAUUUGCUUCUCCCUGUGUAGUUUUACCCCCUGCUCCUCUCCCGUUGGAUCCCUGUAUUGCCAGGCAGGAAUGGCCUGCUACAGGACCCCGCGAGCUCCCAGGGCCUUUCUGCUGCUUUCUGUACCCCUGUAUUUCACUCGGCUCUCCAAAUGGACUCAGCUCCAGGUGAAGAUCUUGGGGCUUAGAAAGGUUACAUAGAUGGCAUGCUGUUACACCUAGCAUGCAAAACUAUAGUCCCUGCACUUCAGACCUGUGUGAGGAGUCUGUUCAAGCAGAAGCAAAAAGAACAAAGCUGGAGGCAUCAUGCUACCUGACUUCAAACUAUACUACAAGGCUAUAGUAACCAAAACAGCAUGGCAUUGGUACAAAAACAGACACAUAGACCAAUGGAACAGAAUAAAGACGUCAGAAAUAAGACUGCACAUCUACAACCAUAUGAUAGUCAACGAACCUGACAAAAACAAGCAAUGGGAAAAAGAUUCCCUAUUUCAUAAAUGGUGCUGGGAAAGCUGGCUAGCCAUAUGCAGAAAAUUGAAACUUG
This 996-nucleotide long non-coding RNA is filed under the name Homo sapiens (human). Its description in RNAcentral is "HSALNT0162787". The record is from RNAcentral. Lineage: Eukaryota; Metazoa; Chordata; Mammalia; Primates; Hominidae.